UCCUACUAUCUCAAGAUUGUAAGCCACUUCAGUGUCCAUCACUAGAGAAGACAGUGAAUCAAACUCUGCCAAUGAGAAGCACCUGUCCUAGACUCUGAAACAACAGAAAGCUGCACAGAAAGCAGAGACAGUGGAUAAUUCUUCAGGAAUGAAGCCAAAGAGCAAGAAAGCUUAAAUAACAAUCCAAAGGAGAAGAGGGGGAUUUUGGGGAGGCCCUCCUUUCAACCAUUACUUGGAAGAGAAAAACAAGUGAGCAAAGAGGAGGAGGCCAUAAUUGCCCUACCUUGAUAAUCUCUGUUAAUAUAUUCAGCAGCAGAUGGGUAAGAUUAGAAAUUGUCAAUCCAUUUGGAAAGGUACAAAUAAAAAGUGAAAGCCUCCCUUCCACAGGAAUGCCAUCCUGAAAAAAAUGAAAAAGCUUUAAUUUACAUGUAUUUAUAUGGGACCACACUAUAUGCACUAUAACGUACCACGCUUUUUUCACAUACUGUAAUUUGGAAUUCUUUCCACAUUAGCAUUUAAAUCUCCUUCACAGCAGAUAAGUUGUAUAGCACUGUACUGAGUGAACAGACAAUAAUUUAUUUGUUCAGUACUUUACUGAUGGACACUGAUUGUUUCCAGUUUCUCUUUCUCUAGCUCCCUCACUCUU
Long non-coding RNA from Lutra lutra (Eurasian river otter), 646 nucleotides. RefSeq lists it as uncharacterized. The record is from RefSeq and is a predicted model, not a curated record. NCBI's taxonomy places the organism in Eukaryota, Metazoa, Chordata, Mammalia, Carnivora, Mustelidae. The transcript is spliced from 4 exons.